CGGGGCGUAGCGCAGCUUGGUAGCGCGCCUGCUUUGGGAGCAGGAUGUCGCAGGUUCGAAUCCUGUCGCCCCGA
This 74-nucleotide transfer RNA is filed under the name Bifidobacterium ramosum. It matches the Rfam family "tRNA". From Rfam's summary of the family: Transfer RNA (tRNA) molecules are approximately 80 nucleotides in length. Their secondary structure includes four short double-helical elements and three loops (D, anti-codon, and T loops). The record is from Rfam by way of RNAcentral. RNAcentral also lists the same sequence under 2 other names. Lineage: Bacteria; Bacillati; Actinomycetota; Actinomycetes; Bifidobacteriales; Bifidobacteriaceae.